UUGAGGCGAUGAAGGACGUAUUAACUUGCGAUAAGCCUAGUCAAGCUAGUAAAAAGCACUUGAGACUAGGAUUUCCGAAUGGGGAAACCCACCUGCUUGCAGGUAUCGUUAACUGAAUACAUAGGUUAACGAGGCGAACGCGGAGAACUGAAACAUCUAAGUACCCGGAGGAAAAGAAAUCAACCGAGAUUCCGUUAGUAGUGGCGAGCGAACGCGGAACAGCCCAGUUACUAAAUCAUUAACUGUCUUAGCAGAAUAAUCUGGAAAGUUUAAUCAUAGAGGGUGAUAGUCCCGUAUGUGAAAAGGCGAUUAAUGUGGGUGACGAAGAGUAAGUCGGGACACGUGUUAUCUUGACUGAAAAUGGGGGGCCCAUCCUCCAA
Molecule: ribosomal RNA, 380 nt
Filed under: Ctenophora environmental sample
Lineage: Eukaryota; Metazoa; Ctenophora
Description: partial Bacterial large subunit ribosomal RNA
Rfam family: Bacterial large subunit ribosomal RNA
Source: RNAcentral